RNAcentral lists this ribosomal RNA (253 nucleotides) under uncultured bacterium. RNAcentral describes it as "partial 16S ribosomal RNA". It matches the Rfam family "Bacterial small subunit ribosomal RNA", at positions 524 to 776 of the family's 1533-position model. The record is from RNAcentral.
UACAGAGGUCUCAAGCGUUGUUCGGAUUCAUUGGGCGUAAAGGGUGUGUAGGUGGCGCCGUAAGUCGGGUGUGAAAUUUCGGAGCUUAACUCCGAAACUGCAUUCGAUACUGCGGUGCUUGAGGACUGGAGAGGAGACUGGAAUUCAUGGUGUAGCAGUGAAAUGCGUAGAUAUCUGCAGGAACACCCGUGGCGAAAGCGGCGCGCUGGACCACUACUGACGCUGAGGAACGAAAGCUAGGGGAGCAAACAGG